This 71-nucleotide transfer RNA is filed under the name Camelus bactrianus (Bactrian camel). It matches the Rfam family "tRNA". From Rfam's summary of the family: Transfer RNA (tRNA) molecules are approximately 80 nucleotides in length. Their secondary structure includes four short double-helical elements and three loops (D, anti-codon, and T loops). The record is from Rfam by way of RNAcentral. RNAcentral also lists the same sequence under 2 other names. Lineage: Eukaryota; Metazoa; Chordata; Mammalia; Artiodactyla; Camelidae.
GAGGCUAUAGCUGAGUGGUAGAGUGCUUGCUUAGCACUCACGAGGUCCUGGGUUCAAUCCCCAGUACCUCA